RNAcentral lists this ribosomal RNA (459 nucleotides) under uncultured bacterium. RNAcentral describes it as "partial 16S ribosomal RNA". It matches the Rfam family "Bacterial small subunit ribosomal RNA", at positions 338 to 795 of the family's 1533-position model. The record is from RNAcentral.
CCUACGGGUGGCAGCAGUGAGGAAUAUUGGUCAAUGGCCGGAAGGCUGAACCAGCCAAGCCGCGUGAGGGAGGUAGGCGCAGAGCGUCGCAGACCUCUUUUGCCGGGGGACAAAAGGACGGCAUCGACCGGUCCUGAGGGUACCCGGAGAAAAAGCAUCGGCUAACUCCGGGCCAGCAGCCGCGGUAAUACGGAGGAUGCGAGCGUUAUCCGGAUUUAUUUGGUUUAAAGGGUGCGUAGAGGGUCUGUUAAGUCAGCGGUAAAAAUUCGGGGCUCAACCCCGGCCGGCCGUUGAAACUGGGGGCCUUGAGUGGGCGAGAAGAAGGCGGAAUGCGUGGUGUAGCGGUGAAAUGCAACGAUAGCACGCAGAACCCCGAUUGCGAAGGCAGCCUUCCGGCGCCCUACUGACGCUGAGGCACGAAAGUGCGGGGAUCGAACAGGAUUAGAUACCCUAGUAGUC